AAUGAACGCUGGCGGCGUGCCUAACACAUGCAAGUCGAGCGAGAAAGUUCCCUUCGGGGGGCGAGUACAGCGGCGCACGGGUGAGUAACGCGUGGGUAACCUACCCAGGAGUGGGGUAUAACUCGCCGAAAGGCGGGCUAAUCCCGCAUACGUCCCGCAGACUUAAGUCUGUUGGAGAAAGAUGGCCUCUGCUUGCAAGCUAUUGCUCUUGGACGGGCCCGCGUUAGAUUAGCUAGUUGGUGAGGUAACUGCUCACCAAGGCUACGAUCUAUAGCUGGUUUGAGAGGACGACCAGCCACACUGGAACUGAGACACGGUCCAGACUCCUACGGGUGGCAG
Molecule: ribosomal RNA, 339 nt
Filed under: uncultured Pseudomonadota bacterium
Lineage: Bacteria; Pseudomonadati; Pseudomonadota
Description: bacterial SSU rRNA
Rfam family: Bacterial small subunit ribosomal RNA
Source: RNAcentral